This 400-nucleotide ribosomal RNA is filed under the name Drosophila ellisoni. RNAcentral's name for it is "partial 12S ribosomal RNA". The record is from RNAcentral. Lineage: Eukaryota; Metazoa; Arthropoda; Insecta; Diptera; Drosophilidae.
GCAUUCUAGAUACACUUUCCAGUACAUCUACUAUGUUACGACUUAUCUUACCUUAUUAAUAAGAGCGACGGGCGAUGUGUACAUAUUUUAGAGCUAAAAUCAAAUUAUUAAUCUUUAUAAUUUUACAACCAAAUCCACCUUCAAAAACUUUUUCAUAGUUUUAUUCGUUUAAAUAAAUUUAUUGUAACCCAUUAUUACAUAAAUAUAAGCUACACCUUGAUCUGAUAUAAAUUUUAAUAAAAAUUAUUGAAUAUUAUUAUUCUUAUAAAAUAUUCUGAUAACGACGGUAUAUAAACUGAUUACAAAUUUAAGUAAGGUCCAUCGUGGAUUAUCGAUUACAAAACAGGUUCCUCUGGAUAGACUAAAAUACCGCCAAAUUUUUUAAGUUUCAAGAACAUAA